AAGGAUCAGUACUGCACGAAUAGAAGGAUCCUUUACACUAAGUGACCCAUAGGUUGAGGAGGCGGUGACCGUGGCGGUGGAGGUGCAAGCAGCGGUGGAGGAGGAGGUAGCCAACACUGGUGACCACGGGUAAUGGGGAAUCAGGGUUCCAUUCUGCACAGGGACACUGAGAAACAGCUAACAUAUGCAAGGAAGGCAGCAGGCACGCAAAUGACCCACUUCCGAUGCGGGAAGGUAGUGA
Molecule: non-coding RNA, 241 nt
Organism: Pelobates cultripes (western spadefoot toad)
Lineage: Eukaryota; Metazoa; Chordata; Amphibia; Anura; Pelobatidae
Source: the annotation of a GenBank genome assembly